Manis pentadactyla (Chinese pangolin) is the source of this 1777-nucleotide long non-coding RNA. RefSeq lists it as uncharacterized. The transcript has 2 exons. The record is from RefSeq and is a predicted model, not a curated record. Lineage: Eukaryota; Metazoa; Chordata; Mammalia; Pholidota; Manidae.
AGGAGCGCCAUUCCUGGAGAAACCUCAGAAACCAGGAACAGGAGGAUGCUGCUGGGUGGGCAUCCCCUGGGUGAUGUGGGUCCUCAUGCAAAGGAGACCCACAUGGGCACAGAAACAGGACCCCAGUGUGUGGGCACUCACAGGGGUGCCUCCAGACCUGGGCUGGAUUCUACCGCCAACCAUGUGACCUUACAAGUGACUGGCCUCCCUGAGCCUUGGUUUGUCCAUCUGGAAGAAUGGGAAUAAGAAUAGAACCCACUUAGCAGGCUAGAGAGAGGAUGUCCUAGGUCAUCACACAUAUGGUUCUUUGCACGUGGUGGCAACAGAUGACAAGGGGCCCUUGUUUCUUUGUAUCUCAUCUGUCUGUCUGUCUGUGCAUUGCUGACUCCCUCUGGUGGGAUUGUGCAUCCUCAUCCUUGCAGAUCUGCUGCCUGUGUGUUGGUCCUGCUGCUCAUGGAUUUCCACGCCCUGUGUACUUUGCACGUGGAGGUCUCUGCAAGCCUGGGUGCCUAUGCAGGAGGCCGCUGGCGUCCAUCUCCCUUCUGUUGGUGUAUCGGCAUCCCUACAGCUCAUCACAAGUCAUGGCCUCAGCAUCCAUCCUGCCAUCCAAGCCUGACCCAAGGGUGCUCUUGGACACCCCCUACCCUGCAGUAAGAUAUCAAGUCCCAUGGAAGAUUCGGCUUCACAAACUCCUUUCCCUCCUGACCCUGCUCUCCUCCCCAUGACCUCACCCUGAUCAGGCCCCAUCCUUUUCUACCUGGACCCCUGCUCUGGCCUGGUUCCCCAGCCUCCACUCUCCCUGCCCCUGACGUGUGAACAGUGAGAGGAAUGUUUCUCCGUUCUAAAUCAAAUCCUUUCUCUUGUCUGCCCAAAAACUUUCAAGAUAAAACUGCAAACUGCUUACAUCGUGUCCCCGCUGGUGCCCUUGACCGUCUCCUCCCCUUCCCAGGCUUCUUUCUCUUGUUCAUAAGCUUGGGGGCCUCCUCCUGCAGCCCUUUGUCCCCAACUCCUACACACCCCUCAGCCCCAUCUCAGUCACCCCCGCUGUCACAUCACUGCCUGGCCCUUCCCAGUCUAAUCUAGGUCCCUCUGUUGUUCCCUUCCAAUAUUCUGUCCUUUUCUUGCACCACUUCAUGGGUUGUCAUGAUAUGUUUAUCAGCAUGACUGUGUUUCCUGUCUCCUCCUGCUGCUCUGUGGGCUCUGGGAGGACAGGGAUUGGGUAUGUCUUGGUCGCUGCUGCAGCCCUACCACCCUGUAAGAGGUCUGUCAUAAAGAGGUCAGUUAAUUAUUGUGGCCUUAUUUUGGAUGAAAAUAUGUGCAAAUUUCUGCCCACUUGUUUGAAUACACUGGGAGGCUCAACACGCCUAGGUCUCUGUGGACCUGGCUCUGUCCAUGACCCCUUAAACCUGUGAUGGUUCACUCAAGAACUGUUUGCCGAUCAUCUACUAUAUGCUUGUAAUUUGCUUUCGAAUGCAUUUAUUUUUUAAUUAAAAAAUCUUAAAGUUGAAGUAUAGUUAACAUACAAUAUUAUAUUAGUUUCAGGUUUGCAAUAUAGUGAUCAGGCAAUUACAUACAUUAUGAAAUGCUCACCAUGGUAAGCGUUGUUACCAUCUGUCACCAUACAAAGUUAUUACAAUAUCAUUGAUUAUAUUCCCUAUGCUUUACUUUUCACCUCCAUGACUUAUUUUAAAUUAGAAGUUUGUACCUCUUUAUCCCCUUCACCUAUUUCACCCAUCCCUGUACUCCCCUCCUCCAUUAUUGUAACACCAGUUUCUCU